CCAGCCCCAGCCCUAGCCCCAGCCCCAGCCACUCACGCACGCACGCUGCCACUUGCCCCCGCACCCUCCUCACAGCGCGCGGGAGAGCGGUGCGUGCUGGAGCUGCUGGGCUGAGCUCCCCCGCUGGGGUCGCCGCGCCGCUCGGCCGCGCUCCUGCCGCCGCCCCGGUGGGUGCCCCAAGACCGUUCACUCGAGCUGUCCCCGGCGGCGAACGGGCUCCCCGCCCCCUCCUCCCGCGCCGUUCCCUCCCCUCUCCCUCCCCUUCUCUGCAACGCCUGCAUUAUUUUCCGCCCGCAGGGUCUGCGCGCACACCGCGGCCG
Molecule: long non-coding RNA, 320 nt
Filed under: Rattus norvegicus (Norway rat)
Lineage: Eukaryota; Metazoa; Chordata; Mammalia; Rodentia; Muridae
Description: long non-coding RNA NONRATT001644
Source: RNAcentral